CCCGCACAAGCGGAGGAACAUGUGGUUUAAUUCGAUGAUACGCGAGGAACCUUACCUGGGCUUAAAUGUAGAGUGCAUGAUGUGGAAACAUGUCUUCCCUUCGGGGCUCUCUGCAAGGUGCUGCAUGGUUGUCGUCAGCUCGUGCCGUGAGGUGUCGGGUUAAGUCCCAUAACGAGCGCAACCCUUAUCGUUAGUUGCCAGCGGGUAAUGCCGGGAACUCUAACGAAACUGCCGGUGUAAACCGAGAGGAAGUGGGGAUGACGUCAAAUCAGCACGGCCCUUAUGUCCAGGGCUACACACGUGUUACAAUGGCCGGUACAGAGGGCAGCUACCUGGAGACAGGAUGCGAAUCUCGAAAGCCGGUCUCAGUUCGGAUCGGAGUCUGCAACUCGACUCCGUGAAGCUGGAUUCGCUAGUAAUCGCGCAUCAGCCAUGGCGCGGUGAAUACGUUCCCGGGUCUU
RNAcentral lists this ribosomal RNA (461 nucleotides) under uncultured Sphingobacteriales bacterium. Its description in RNAcentral is "bacterial SSU rRNA". It matches the Rfam family "Bacterial small subunit ribosomal RNA", at positions 920 to 1382 of the family's 1533-position model. The record is from RNAcentral. Lineage: Bacteria; Pseudomonadati; Bacteroidota; Sphingobacteriia; Sphingobacteriales.